UUGGUCGGUUGCACUCGGCGGUGUCCUCGAACGGGCCCUGCUUUAAAACAUACCCGUCGGCGACGCUACUGCUUUGGGUACUUUCAGGACCCGUCUUGAAACACGGACCAAGGAGUCUAACAUGUGCGCGAGUCAUUGGGACUUGAAACAAAGCCUAAAGGCGCAAUGAAAGUAAAGGUCCGCUUUAUGCGCGACCGAGGGAGGAUGGCUCCCGCCACGACGCGGAGCCCGCACUCCCGGGGCGUCUCGUGCUCAUUGCGAGCUGAGGCGCACCCAGAGCGUACACGUUGGGACCCGAAAGAUGGUGAACUAUGCCUGGUCAGGACGAAGUCAGGGGAAACCCUGAUGGAGGUCCGUAGCGAUU
This 364-nucleotide ribosomal RNA is filed under the name Megaphragma breviclavum. RNAcentral describes it as "partial large subunit ribosomal RNA". It matches the Rfam family "Eukaryotic large subunit ribosomal RNA", at positions 558 to 885 of the family's 3401-position model. The record is from RNAcentral. Lineage: Eukaryota; Metazoa; Arthropoda; Insecta; Hymenoptera; Trichogrammatidae.